Molecule: long non-coding RNA, 1782 nt
Filed under: Physcomitrium patens
Lineage: Eukaryota; Viridiplantae; Streptophyta; Bryopsida; Funariales; Funariaceae
Description: long non-coding RNA (PPAT_LNC011559)
Source: RNAcentral
UUCAGGCAAUGUUGAUUGUUCUAAUGCAGCAAACGGACCAUUUGAAGAUCGGUGGUUGCGGAUCGCAGGCGAGGCAGCGAGUGGAAAUUAGGGUUUCCGGUGGUUGUGUGAGCUCUAUGAACAAGUUUUCUGGUGACGAGUGUUGGUGUUUUUUUCACGGUGGAUUCAUAUAUUGAUACAUGUGUGUGUGUGUGUGUAUUAUAUUUAUUUACUUAUUUAUAUUCUUUCUCAUCACUUUCGGUUGGAUGUUCUCUGGCAGUGUUUUGGAAGACAAUCUCCGAGUUAUUCUCAUGGUCUACUGCAUACGUGGUAACGGACAUCAUCCAGUUAAAUUUAGAUAUGGAAUCGAUCUGGUAUAAGGUAUCUGAAGAUUGUUUUCCGUUCAUUUACGUUGGUUUUUCUAUAAUUGGGUUCGUCUAGUGAUUUCCCCAACUGUGUGGUUCAGUUCAUGAUCUCAACAUUAGCGGUGUCUUUCUCUGGCCAGGUUUAUUACGAUGAUCGCAUGUCCUGCAUGCAGCUGCAUGUUCGACCAUAUGGCUCAAGAUAGUUCAGAAAAAACUAUGAGUUUUGUUAUGAAAGGAAAAGGAUAGGGAUUUGCGAGGCCACAAUGCACUCCACAUGCAAGUCAAACAGGAAAUUUUCAGACAUGGUGGGCAUAAAACCGCAUUCGAUUCAAUGAGAUGGCGGUACAUGAAGCUCGUUACCCACGUCGGACUCAGCAACAAAGGGGAAUGGUUUUUACUCACACAGGAAAAAAGGCAACAUUUAGUGUAUUAAACCAAAACAAACUUUCUUGAUCAUUUCGCCCUAUUGAGUGCAUAAGAUAUUCUUUCAACCUCAACUGUUCACCAUCCUUCCUAGAAUUCGCUUCUCCACUUCUUCGUAUCUUCUACACCUAGUGCAGCAUGUAAGUAUUUAAUGCAAAUUUUACUGUCACUCAAUAUUCCUCUUUCAUUCUCAUCCCAGGUGCUGUCUAUCGAUUAUCUCUCCAUUCUGUUGUUUGGCCCAAAGGAAAUUGGGAGGCUUGGAGUCAGCUUAUGGACAGUCUCAUGUUUACAUUGUUGAAAGUUCAACAUCCCCUGUACCACGAUGAGUUCAAAUGUUUUAGACAUCUUUCCAAGCUUUAGAUGGAUCUCUUCGCUUCUGCAACGGUUGAGGGCCCUUCAAGAAAAGAAAGCUGCGUAUCCUUUGUUUAUUAGAAAGUUCAAAUUGUGAAACCAAUAAGAACUAUGUGAGUCAAGAAUUUCUUGUCUUGCAAAAUCAUAUUUCGGGAGAUUAUACGGUUGGGAAAUUUACGACUCUUUGAAGUAAUUUUUUGAUGCCCUUGGCACAAGACGGUUGCAAUUCUGCUGGACGUAAUGUUUAUCCUGAAGGAACCUCAAAAAGCCAGUGGACUUGAUUACGAAUUAAUUCUUUAACUUCACUCAUUUUGCUUCUAGGAAACUUGGCUCAUGCCUCACACUUUAGUGUGCUGAGUUUUCGGCAUUCGAAUAGGAAUUCGAACUUUUCUAAUGACAGGAGGUGUAGUUCCAUGAGCUGAGAAUCCUGAAGUUGUGCAGAACAUCGCAGCCUGCUGAGAGCUGCCUUCAUCAACAUUUUCACUUGAUGUUGGAUGUGCCCACUGGUGAUCCACUCCCGGAGGAAAUGAGUCUGUAGAGGUCUUUUGUGAUAUCCAAAACUCAAAUCCAUGUCCUUGGACUUAACCAAAUGAAGCGCAUAUUGUCCAUGAGCGUUUUGUUGAGAAGCACGAACAAAAUUUUCAAUACUCGGAAACUAAACUGC